RNAcentral lists this ribosomal RNA (459 nucleotides) under uncultured bacterium. RNAcentral describes it as "bacterial SSU rRNA". It matches the Rfam family "Bacterial small subunit ribosomal RNA", at positions 54 to 507 of the family's 1533-position model. The record is from RNAcentral.
CAUGCAAGUCGAACGGCAGCACGGGAGCAAUCCUGGUGGUGAGUGGCGAACGGGUGAGUAAUAUAUCGGAACGUGCCCAGUCGUGGGGGGAUAACGUAGCGAAAGCUACGUUAAUACCGCAUACGAUCUAUGGAUGAAAGCGGGGGAUCGCAAGACCUCGCGCGAUUGGAGCGGCCGAUAUCAGAUUAGGUAGUUGGUGAGGUAAAGGCUCACCAAGCCGACGAUCUGUAGCUGGUCUGAGAGGACGACCAGCCACACUGGGACUGAGACACGGCCCAGACUCCUACGGGAGGCAGCAGUGGGGAAUUUUGGACAAUGGGCGCAAGCCUGAUCCAGCAAUGCCGCGUGCAGGAUGAAGGCCUUCGGGUUGUAAACUGCUUUUGUACGGAACGAAACGGUGAGCUCUAAUACAGUUUGCUAAUGACGGUACCGUAAGAAUAAGCACCGGCUAACUACGUG